UACGGAGGAUGCGAGCGUUAUCCGGAUUUAUUGGGUUUAAAGGGAGCGCAGACGGGUCGUUAAGUCAGCUGUGAAAGUUUGGGGCUCAACCUUAAAAUUGCAGUUGAUACUGGCGUCCUUGAGUGCGGUUGAGGUGUGCGGAAUUCGUGGUGUAGCGGUGAAAUGCUUAGAUAUCACGAAGAACUCCGAUUGCGAAGGCAGCACACUAAGCCGUAACUGACGUUCAUGCUCGAAAGUGUGGGUAUCAAACAGGAUUAGAAACCCGGGCGGCUGACUGACU
This 280-nucleotide ribosomal RNA is filed under the name Phocaeicola plebeius DSM 17135. RNAcentral's name for it is "partial 16S ribosomal RNA". It matches the Rfam family "Bacterial small subunit ribosomal RNA", at positions 524 to 801 of the family's 1533-position model. The record is from RNAcentral. Lineage: Bacteria; Pseudomonadati; Bacteroidota; Bacteroidia; Bacteroidales; Bacteroidaceae.